Polistes dominula (European paper wasp) is the source of this 186-nucleotide long non-coding RNA. RefSeq lists it as uncharacterized. NCBI's taxonomy places the organism in Eukaryota, Metazoa, Arthropoda, Insecta, Hymenoptera, Vespidae. The record is from RefSeq and is a predicted model, not a curated record.
ACUUCUAAUUCUUCCAUUAUGUUCUGACGGAUUAUCAAUUUUUUCUUCAUGAUGAGGAACACCUUUCCACGACAGAAUACUUUCAGAUAGAGGAGACAAAUCAUAGGCGGUUGUGUUUUAUGCUGGUUUGUCUGCUCCAUGUGGUAGUAUCUUUAUGCAAAUCAAAUGUACUGUAAAUUAAAUGAA